GUGGGGAAUAUUGGACAAUGGGGGGAACCCUGAUCCAGCCAUGCCGCGUGUGUGAAGAAGGCCUUUUGGUUGUAAGCACUUUAAGCGAGGAGGAGGCUACCGAGAUUAAUACUCUUGGAUAGUGGACGUUACUCGCAGAAUAAGCACCGGCUAACUCUGUGCCAGCAGCCGCGGUAAUACAGAGGGUGCAAGCGUUAAUCGGAUUUACUGGGCGUAAAGCGCGCGUAGGUGGCCAAUUAAGUCAAAUGUGAAAUCCCCGAGCUUAACUUGGGAAGUGCAUUCGAUACUGGUUGGCUAGAGUAUGGGAGAGGAUGGUAGAAUUCCAGGUGUAGCGGUGAAAUGCGUAGAGAUCUGGAGGAAUACCGAUGGCGAAGGCAGCCAUCUGGCCUAAUACUGACACUGAGGUGCGAAAGCAUGGGGAGCAAACAGGAUUAGAUACCCGAGUAGUCC
RNAcentral lists this ribosomal RNA (450 nucleotides) under uncultured bacterium. RNAcentral describes it as "partial 16S ribosomal RNA". It matches the Rfam family "Bacterial small subunit ribosomal RNA", at positions 354 to 796 of the family's 1533-position model. The record is from RNAcentral.